Molecule: ribosomal RNA, 468 nt
Filed under: uncultured bacterium
Lineage: Bacteria
Description: partial 16S ribosomal RNA
Rfam family: Bacterial small subunit ribosomal RNA
Source: RNAcentral
GACGAACGCUGGCGGCGUGCUUAACACAUGCAAGUCGAACGGAAAGGCCCUGCUUUUGUGGGUUUCUCGAGUGCCGAACGGGGGAGUAACACGUGAGUAACCUGCCCUUGACUUUGGGAUAACUCCACGAAACUCGGGCUAAUACCGGAGAGAAGCUCCUGCUCCAUGUGGGGGGUUGGAAAGUUUCGGCGGUGGGGGCUGGACUCGCGGCUUAUCCGCUUGUUGGUGUGGUAGUGGCUUACCAGGGGUUUGACGGGUAGCCGGCCUGAGAGGGUGACCGGCCACAUUGGGACUGCGAUACGGCCCAGACUCCUACGGGAGGCAGUAGUGGGGAAUAUUGCACAAUGGGCGGAAGCCUGAUGCAGAAACGCCGCGUGCGGGAUGACGGCCUUCGGGUUGUAAACAGCUUUCGCCUGUGACGAAGCGUGAGUGACGGUAAUGGGUAAAGAAGCACCGGCUAACUACGUG